AGAGUUAUAACCAAGUCUUCUCUUUUCCCCCUGCAGAAGAUACUGGGGUCCACAACUGGACAAAUCAGAUAUUAUGUCUACAAAUUUCAUCAUUCCACUGAUGGUGGAUCUUGAAAAUUAGCUCAGAAGAAAGGAUGUAUAAUCUCAGGUGGUAAUCUCAUUGUCGUUGCAUAUCCACUUGAAUUCCAAUGGCCAACUCCCUUCAGCAAGACAAGUGAGGACAAGGCGAUUUCCUUCCAGAUGAAUCUGAGGUAAACCUGGUUCAGUCUUGAAAUAUGGUGCAACAUCAUCUAAAAUAGACCAAAGAAAUUAACAGCCAAUUAAACACAGACAUGGAAAUAA
Monodelphis domestica (gray short-tailed opossum) is the source of this 342-nucleotide non-coding RNA. The record is from RefSeq and is a predicted model, not a curated record. NCBI's taxonomy places the organism in Eukaryota, Metazoa, Chordata, Mammalia, Didelphimorphia, Didelphidae.